CACUUCUUAUCGAACAGAUAAAUUUUAAUAAAACCAACAUGACAUAUACAACACACCUUGAAGUCCAAUCAAAAUUUCAACAAUUAUCUUACAAGUUAGAAUAGAUUUAUUAUUCACUCUGCUUUAAUCAAUAAUACUCUAUCUAACUCUCUAAAUUAUUAAUUGGUAGAUCGGUUAAUUUGUGGAAAGUUUGAAGUUUCAAUUCACUAUUUAUUAGUAAAACAUUGAAAGUUUGAAAAACAUUGAAGUUUCAACUUGAGAGGGUUCGCUACGGCUGAUGCACUAUACUAUAGAGGAUCCACAUCCAUUUUAAUAACAUUCUCAAUUUCAUGAUGAGACAUAAAUAUUCAACACCCACUUGAACGUAAUACUAGUCUUUUUAAAUUACAUGUCUCGAGUUAGAAUUCUAAAGAAAUAGUAGCAUUAAAAUUCUUGAAAGAGUUUUUCUGUCCGAAUGGUCUUACUUGACUUAUGGAUAUUACAACCCGAUAUUAACAAUGAACUGCCUCUAUAAUUUGCAAAUAGAUUUGAACCGAAAGAAAAGUGAACACUGCAAUAUGCUUAUUGGUCGGUAAGAGUUGGAGUACCCUCAUUAAUAUUAUUUGCUUAUAAUAAAAAAUUACUAUUUUCAACAUUUAUCAUCACACUUCUUCUUAAGAUACUUGCGCCAUAUUGCGAAUGCCAACAUAACGCCUAGGACCCCAACCGCGACUCCAACAACGAUGCCAAAUGUUUUUGUUGAUGAUGAAGAAGAUGAAUCAUCAUAUGAUAACGCAUUUGACGAUGAAGGUGGAGGCCAUGUUGGCACAGGUGGACUCCAUGACCAUGGAGGCGUAGGUGUAUCAAUUGAUGGUGGUGGAAAAUAAUUUGUUGACAUUACUCUUGUGAGCAGUUUCUUUAGCUGGAAGUGUUUAAAUCUUUGAUAUAUAUUGAUCACGGAGGAAAUAAUUUUAUAGGCAAAUGAUAAUGUGAGCUACGACAUUUU
Molecule: long non-coding RNA, 985 nt
Filed under: Cicer arietinum (chickpea)
Lineage: Eukaryota; Viridiplantae; Streptophyta; Magnoliopsida; Fabales; Fabaceae
Description: long non-coding RNA (CARI_LNC003524)
Source: RNAcentral